Molecule: ribosomal RNA, 116 nt
Filed under: Esox lucius (northern pike)
Lineage: Eukaryota; Metazoa; Chordata; Actinopteri; Esociformes; Esocidae
Source: RNAcentral
GCUUACGGCCAUACCAGCCUGAAUACCCGAUCUCGUCCGAUCUCGGAAGCUAAGCAGGGUCGGGCCUGGUUAGUACUUGGAUGGAGACCGCCUGGGAAUACCAGGUGCUGUAAGCU